This 484-nucleotide ribosomal RNA is filed under the name uncultured bacterium. RNAcentral's name for it is "partial 16S ribosomal RNA". It matches the Rfam family "Bacterial small subunit ribosomal RNA", at positions 30 to 507 of the family's 1533-position model. The record is from RNAcentral.
AUUGAACGCUGGCGGCAGGCCUAACACAUGCAAGUCGAGCGGAUGAAGGGAGCUUGCUCCUGGAUUCAGCGGCGGACGGGUGAGUAAUGCCUAGGAAUCUGCCUGGUAGUGGGGGAUAACGUCCGGAAACGGGCGCUAAUACCGCAUACGUCCUGAGGGAGAAAGUGGGGGAUCUUCGGACCUCACGCUAUCAGAUGAGCCUAGGUCGGAUUAGCUAGUUGGUGGGGUAAAGGCCUACCAAGGCGACGAUCCGUAACUGGUCUGAGAGGAUGAUCAGUCACACUGGAACUGAGGCACGGUCCAGACUCCUACGGGAGGCAGCAGUGGGGAAUAUUGGACAAUGGGCGAAAGCCUGAUCCAGCCAUGCCGCGUGUGUGAAGAAGGUCUUCGGAUUGUAAAGCACUUUAAGUUGGGAGGAAGGGCAGUAAGUUAAUACCUUGCUGUUUUGACAUUACCAACAGAAUAAGCACCGGCUAACUUCGUG